This 872-nucleotide small RNA is filed under the name Pan troglodytes (chimpanzee). RNAcentral describes it as "processed transcript". The record is from RNAcentral. Lineage: Eukaryota; Metazoa; Chordata; Mammalia; Primates; Hominidae.
UCGCAGUUACUAAGGCGUGGGGAAGAUAGCGGCAGGCACCGCAGUGGAGCGGCUCCGAGAUCCCCGGGGGGCUCGCAGGCGCGCAUCCCUCCUGACUGGGACGUCGCCUCCGCAGACCCCUCGGAGGCUGAAGCGACGCCGGAGGCAGGCAAAGAAACAAGUGAAGAAACAAAAAAAAAAGGAAGUUAAGGGGCCAUUCUCAAAGUCAAAGAUCAAGCCAAGGACACUGGUUGGUGGUUCAGAAAGGUAACCUCAAGAAGAAGCCCAAGGGUUUGGUUGGAGCACAAGCUGAACGUCGGGAAAGCCUGAAGGCGACUUCUUUUGAGUUCAAGGGGAAGAAAGGGUCUCGGCGGGAAAAUCAGGUGGACCUUCCUGGACGUAUCCUGGACCAGGCUUUUCUGCUGAAGCACCACUGUGUGAGGAAGCCAUCAGAUCUGUGCACCAUUAAUGUGAGUGGCCUGAAGUUCUCCAAGGCCAAGGAAAAUGACUUCAAGCAUUUUCAUUCUGUGAUUUAUAUCAAUGCCUCAGAAAACCUGCUGCCUCUAGAGGCAUUUCACAUGUUUCCAGCCCUAAAGGAACUGGAUCUCGCAUUUAAUGGCAUCAAAACUAUCUACGUGAAAUAUGGAGACUUUAAGUUGUUAGAAUUCUUGGACCUUUCCUUCAACAGCCUGACUGUGGAGGCCAUCUGUGAUUUGGGGAUUCUGCCACACCUCCGUGUCCUGCUCCUCACAGGCAAUGGCCUCACCUCCCUGCCGCCCAAUUUGGCCGUCGCAGAACAAUAGAGGAUCUAGGCCCAGAGAUGCUCAACACCAGCCGGAAGUCACACAGCAAGCAAAGCAGCAGCAGCACCAGAGCCAGAGCUCAGGGAUCCU